This 26-nucleotide small RNA is filed under the name Bombyx mori (domestic silkworm). RNAcentral's name for it is "ovarian small RNA-4768". The record is from RNAcentral. Lineage: Eukaryota; Metazoa; Arthropoda; Insecta; Lepidoptera; Bombycidae.
CCAGACAUGUUCUAGCCGAUUAAUUA